Molecule: long non-coding RNA, 310 nt
Organism: Portunus trituberculatus (swimming crab)
Lineage: Eukaryota; Metazoa; Arthropoda; Malacostraca; Decapoda; Portunidae
Exons: 3
Source: RefSeq, a predicted model, not a curated record
CUGGUGUUCUUUAUGUUCCCUACAGGAGCUGCCGAUACAAAGGCCUGACCCAGAAGAAAUUCUGCGUCACCUGUACCAUCAAGAUCAAGAUCAAGACACCCGUCAUUGCUAGCUUGGAGUGUUGACAUUGACAGCUUUUGAACAUUUGUGGAGCAGAGGUGCACCAUGGCUUGCCACAAUGUCACAACUGGUCCUUGGAGAGCCGCUGGUGGUGACGGGCUGCCUGUGUCCUCUCUGCGGCAAAACUCACAAAUACUCCACUCACCAAGUUCCAGAGGGAGAGGAUCACCAGACACCACCGGCCGUACUA